Molecule: ribosomal RNA, 478 nt
Filed under: uncultured bacterium
Lineage: Bacteria
Description: partial 16S ribosomal RNA
Rfam family: Bacterial small subunit ribosomal RNA
Source: RNAcentral
GACGAACGCUGGCGGCGUGCUUAACACAUGCAAGUCGAACGGUAAGGCCCUUCGGGGUACACGAGUGGCGAACGGGUGAGUAACACGUGGGUGAUCUGCCCUGCACUUCGGGAUAAGCCUGGGAAACUGGGUCUAAUACCGGAUAGGACUCCGGACUGCAUGGUCUGGGGUGGAAAGCUUUUGCGGUGUGGGAUGGGCCCGCGGCCUAUCAGCUUGUUGGUGGGGUGAUGGCCUACCAAGGCGGCGACGGGUAGCCGGCCUGAGAGGGGGACCGGCCACACUGGGACUGAGAUACGGCCCAGACUCCUACGGGAGGCAGCAGUGGGGAAUAUUGCACAAUGGGCGCAAGCCUGAUGCAGCGACGCCGCGUGAGGGAUGACGGCCUUCGGGUUGUAAACCUCUUUCAGCAUCGACGAAGCGAAAGUGACGGUAGGUGCAGAAGAAGGACCGGCCAACUACGUGCCAGCAGCCGCGGUAA